CCUACGGGUGGCAGCAGUGGGGAAUAUUGGGCAAUGGACGCAAGUCUGACCCAGCAACGCCGCGUGAAGGAAGAAGGCUUUCGGGUUGUAAACUUCUUUUCUCAGGGACGAAGCAAGUGACGGUACCUUAGGAAUAAGCCACGGCUAACUACGUGCCAGCAGCCGCGGUAAUACGUAGGUGGCAAGCGUUAUCCGGAUUUACUGGGUGUAAAGGGGGUGUAGGCGGGAAAGCAAGUCAGAUGUGAAAACCAUAGGCUCAACCUGUGGCCUGCCUUUGAAACUGUUGUUCUUGAGUGCUGGAGAGGCAGCUGGAAUUCCUGGUGUAGCGGUGAAAUGCGUAGAUAUUAGGAGGAACACCAGUGGCGAAGGCGGGUUGCUGGACAGCAACUGACGCUGAGGCGCGAAAGCGUGGGGAGCAAACAGGAUUAGAUACCCCAGUAGUC
Molecule: ribosomal RNA, 443 nt
Filed under: uncultured bacterium
Lineage: Bacteria
Description: partial 16S ribosomal RNA
Rfam family: Bacterial small subunit ribosomal RNA
Source: RNAcentral